This 1134-nucleotide long non-coding RNA is filed under the name Mus caroli (Ryukyu mouse). RNAcentral describes it as "lncRNA (MGP_CAROLIEiJ_G0003887.1)". Lineage: Eukaryota; Metazoa; Chordata; Mammalia; Rodentia; Muridae. The record is from RNAcentral.
GCCACCCGCCCACGCCUUUGGCCCCAGCCAGGACUCAAGGGAGGGACGAAGUUUGCAACCCUGGUUUAGCCUCAAUUGGGAUCACAGAGAUGUCACGGAAAGCGCAAUCGGGAAAUGGAUUGUCUCCAUCUCUGCUCAUAGAAAGCAGGGCCCAAGUGUACAGGCAGCGCGUUUGUAUUUGAAGUUGUAUUAACUAGCUCUCUCUGCAAUUCCACAUACUAAAUUAUGACGUCCUCCUCGGAGCAGCAGCAUAAUGGACAACAGGUACGUCACACAGGUUGCCCAAAGCAGAGCAACUCCACUCUGCUUCUUUUCCUGGGAAACGGAAGGAUAGAGAGUUCCAAGGUAGCCUGGGCUACACAACUAGAUCUUAUCUCAAAGGAGGUGCCAGAGAUGAUGGUGUAAGCCUACAGCUCUGCCCUCCAGAGGUUACAUUAUUAGAACCCAGUAGACACUAGGAGGCAAAGCCUGGUUGGGAGAAGUGUACCCUGCCCUGUGCUUUUGGAGGAUAUGUGUGUCCUGGGAAAACCGAAGGAGAGAGGGUAUACUAUGAUCUUCAGAGGUACAAAAUAGAGAUUCUCAGGGGCUGGAGGGAUGGCCCAGAAGUUAAAGGCACUUGACGAUCUUUCAGAGGGGCUAGGUUAGGUUGCCAGCACCCAACAUUAUUUUAUUUAAAUCCAAAAAAUAAUAACUCUGAGUCGGGGUUUGGAGAGGUGCAAAGCGACCCAGAAGUGAAAUGUUGUGUCUUAGCUAAAGGUGAACUAUUUCCAACAGAUGUUACUAUUAUUUAUCCCAUGAUAUAAAGACGCCUGCAGGGAGAAGGGAAGCCAAGAUGGUCAGCCACGGGGAAGCUCAUCCACAGAGGGAAAGCUCAAUCCUGACCAUCUCGGCAAUCCUCAGUUUCUGCAGGAUGUUUGAAAGCUCCCAUUCGCUGCUGCCUUUGAAAGCUCCCAUUCGCUGCUGCCGCCUCUGCUCUCCACCAUGCUUCAGCUGCCCGUUGCCCCGCCCCGUGGCCUCUGACAUGUUUUGAAUGUCAUUUGAUAGAUGUCUAUCUGCUGCUUUUGUCUGUCUGUCAUUUGCUGCUUACUCUCUUGCUUGCUAUAUAAUGAAUAAACUCACAUAUUGGAAACUAAA